Molecule: ribosomal RNA, 253 nt
Filed under: uncultured bacterium
Lineage: Bacteria
Description: partial 16S ribosomal RNA
Rfam family: Bacterial small subunit ribosomal RNA
Source: RNAcentral
UACGUAGGGAGCAAGCGUUGUCCGGAAUUAUUGGGCGUAAAGCGCGUGUAGGCGGCAUGGCAAGUCGGGUGUGAAAGCCCUCAGCUCAACUGAGGAAGUGCGCCCGAAACUGCUUUGCUUGAGUGCUGGAGAGGGUCGCGGAAUUCCCCAAGUAGAGGUGAAAUUCGUAGAUAUGGGGAGGAACACCGGUGGCGAAGGCGGCGACCUGGUCCUUGACUGACGCUGAGGCGCGAAAGCGUGGGGAGCAAACAGG